RNAcentral lists this small nucleolar RNA (107 nucleotides) under Dichanthelium oligosanthes. RNAcentral describes it as "Plant small nucleolar RNA R71". It matches the Rfam family "Plant small nucleolar RNA R71". Rfam says of the family: R71 is a member of the C/D box family of snoRNAs containing the C (UGAUGA) and D (CUGA) box motifs. The record is from Rfam by way of RNAcentral. Lineage: Eukaryota; Viridiplantae; Streptophyta; Magnoliopsida; Poales; Poaceae.
AUCCCGUGGUGAGGGCAAGCCAAGAGAUACUCUUGGAAGUACUCCCAUGCUUCAGGAAUUGUCUUGUCUGAUUUUUGCUGGAAGUUGGAAAUUUUCCCACAAAGGGC